RNAcentral lists this long non-coding RNA (311 nucleotides) under Homo sapiens (human). RNAcentral describes it as "long non-coding RNA NONHSAT173789.1". The record is from RNAcentral. Lineage: Eukaryota; Metazoa; Chordata; Mammalia; Primates; Hominidae.
GGCGGGACCGUUAGAUCGAGGCGGAUGCGGCCCGGACCCCGUGGAUAUGGAGCAAUCGCCGCCGCUGGCGCCGGAGCCCACCCAAGGGCCAACCACCACAAGGAGCUGAAGGCGGCGGGAGCCCGAGUCGCCGCCGGCGUCGGUGCCGUCAAAGAAGAUGGCCAGGGAGACAGCAGCGUGGUCAGAGUGGUAGGAGCUGGCCAUCGGUGAGAGCUGCUCCAUGCCUGGCUGCUGGGUGCUAGAGCUUGUGGACCACUGGCUUGCCUCACUGUGGUUGGUGGUGGCGGUGACAGAGUGUGCAGCACGACCAG